RNAcentral lists this ribosomal RNA (403 nucleotides) under uncultured microorganism. RNAcentral's name for it is "bacterial SSU rRNA". It matches the Rfam family "Archaeal small subunit ribosomal RNA", at positions 330 to 735 of the family's 1478-position model. The record is from RNAcentral.
GCGCAGCAGUCGAGAAACCUCCGCAAUACACGAAAGUGUGACGGGGCCAUCCCGAGUGCCGUCCGCUGAGGACGGCUUUUCCCCAGUGUACACAGCUGGGGGAAUAAGGAGAGGGCAAGCCUGGUGUCAGCCGCCGCGGUAAUACCAGCUCUCCGAGUGGUGGGGACGCUUAUUGGGCCUAAAACAUCCGUAGCCGGCUGGGCAAGUCCUCCGUUAAAUCCAACGAUUCAAUCGUUGGGCUGCGGGGGAUACUGUCCAGCUUGGGGCGGGAGAGGCCGACGGUAUUCCCGGGGUAGGGGUGAAAGUCCUAUAAUCCCGGGAGGACCACCAGUGGCGAAGGCUGUCGGCUAGAACGCGCCCGACGGUGAGGGAUGAAAGCUGGGGGAGCGAACCGGAUUAGAUA